This 429-nucleotide ribosomal RNA is filed under the name Acidobacteriota bacterium. Its description in RNAcentral is "Acidobacteria bacterium partial 16S ribosomal RNA". It matches the Rfam family "Bacterial small subunit ribosomal RNA", at positions 355 to 776 of the family's 1533-position model. Lineage: Bacteria; Pseudomonadati; Acidobacteriota. The record is from RNAcentral.
UGGGGAAUUUUGGACAAUGGGGGAAACCCUGAUCCAGCCAUCCCGCGUGUGCGAUGAAGGCCUUCGGGUUGUAAAGCACUUUUGGCAGGAAAGAAACGUCAUGGGUUAAUACCCCGUGAAACUGACGGUACCUGCAGAAUAAGCACCGGCUAACUACGUGCCAGCAGCCGCGGUAAUACGUAGGGUGCAAGCGUUAAUCGGAAUUACUGGGCGUAAAGCGUGCGCAGGCGGUUCGGAAAGAAAGAUGUGAAAUCCCAGAGCUCAACUUUGGAACUGCAUUUUUAACUACCGGGCUAGAGUGUGUCAGAGGGUGGUGGAAUUCCGCGUGUAGCAGUGAAAUGCGUAGAUAUGCGGAGGAACACCGAUGGCGAAGGUAGCCUCCUGGGAUAACACUGACGCUCAUGCACGAAAGCGUGGGGAGCAAACAGG